RNAcentral lists this small nucleolar RNA (137 nucleotides) under Ornithorhynchus anatinus (platypus). The record is from RNAcentral. Lineage: Eukaryota; Metazoa; Chordata; Mammalia; Monotremata; Ornithorhynchidae.
CCCCUCUUAGAGUCAACCUGGAGAGUUUCCAGUCCUCUACCAGUCUCGGUUACGGGAGGGAGAGUCAAGCAGAGGCCUACCCGUUCCAUUCCUAGCUUGGGCGGUGGUUAGCAAGUGGAAGGCAAUCUGCUACAAGU